RNAcentral lists this ribosomal RNA (229 nucleotides) under uncultured bacterium. RNAcentral's name for it is "partial 16S ribosomal RNA". It matches the Rfam family "Bacterial small subunit ribosomal RNA", at positions 119 to 334 of the family's 1533-position model. The record is from RNAcentral.
GGAUAAUCUACCCAGUAAUCCGGGAUAACAUCUCGAAAGAGGUGCUAAUACCUGAUAAGCCCACGAUCUCUUCGGAGAACGAGGGAAAAGGUGGGGACCUUCGGGCCUGCCGUUGCUGGAUGAGUCCGCGGCCCAUUAGCUAGUUGGUAGGGUAAUGGCCUACCAAGGCUACGAUGGUUAGUUGGUCUGAGAGGAUGACCAGCCACACUGGAACUGAGACACGGUCCAG